RNAcentral lists this ribosomal RNA (1470 nucleotides) under mouse gut metagenome. RNAcentral's name for it is "bacterial LSU rRNA". It matches the Rfam family "Bacterial large subunit ribosomal RNA", at positions 497 to 1977 of the family's 2925-position model. The record is from RNAcentral.
AGUACUGUGAAGGAAAGGUGAAAAGAACCCCGGGAGGGGAGUGAAAAAGAACCUGAAACCAUACGCUUACAACCUGUCGGAGCCACUUAGUGUGGUGACGGCGUGCCUAUUGAAUAAUGAGCCUACGAGUUACUAAUCACUAGCGAGGUUAAGUGCAAGGAUGCACGGAGCCGAAGCGAAAGCGAGUCUGAAUAGGGCGGUUAGUUAGUGGUUGUAGACGCGAAACCUUGCGAUCUACCCUUGGUCAGGUUGAAGGUUGGGUAACACCAACUGGAGGACCGCACCAAUAAACGUUGAAAAGUUUCUGGAUGAACUGAGGGUAGGGGUGAAAGGCUAAUCAAGCUGGGAAAUAGCUCGUACUCCCCGAAAUGCCUUUAGGGGCAGCGUUGUAAUAAAGAGUCUACUGGAGGUAGAGCUACUGAUUGGAUGCGGGGGCUUCACCGCCUACCAAAUCCUGACAAACUCCGAAUGCCAGUAGUAUGAUUUACAGCAGUGAGCCACCGGGUGCUAAUGUCCGGUGACAAAAGAGGAACAACUCAGACCAACAACUAAGGUCCCCAAGAAUAUGCUAAGUUGAACUAACGAUGUUUUGUUGCAGAGACAGCUAGGAUGUUAGCUUGGAAGCAGCUAUUCAUUCAAAGAGUGCGUAACAGCUCACUAGUCGAGCGACAGAGCGUGGAUAAUGAACGGGCAUCAAGCAUAUCACCGAAGUUUUGGGCGCGAGAGCGCGGUAGGGGAGCAUUCCAUUCAGCGUCGAAGUCGGAUCGUGAGAUUCGGUGGAGCGUAUGGAAAAGCAAAUGUAGGCAUAAGUAACGAUAAAGCGGGCGAGAAACCCGCUCACCGCAAGACCAAGGUUUCCUGAUCAACGCUAAACGGAUCAGGGUUAGUCGGGACCUAAGGCUAAGCCGAACGGCGAUGUCGAUGGAUAAUCGGUUAAUAUUCCGAUACUGACAUACACCUCGAUGGAGGGACGAAGGAACGUAAGUGGUGCGAACUGACGGAAUAGUUCGUUAAAGAGUUUAGGUAUAUGGCAAGGUUAAGAGCUAUGUCAUGCUGAAUCUCGACAGUACAGAGCGUCUUCGGACAAUCUGAUAAUCCACCCAAGUCGACUUCCGAGAAAAUCUUCUAAGUUAUAGUGUAUGUUACCCGUACCGUAAACCGACACAGGUGGUCGAGGAGAGUAUCCUAAGGUGCUCGAGUGAAUCACGGUUAAGGAACUAGGCAAAUUAACCCCGUAACUUUGGGAAAAGGGGUCCCUACGCGAGUAGGGCGCAGCGAAGAGGUCCAGGCGACUGUUUAUCAAAAACACAGGGCUCUGCAAAUUCGAAAGAAGACGUAUAGGGCCUGACACCUGCCCGGUGCUGGAAGGUUAAGAGGAGAUGUCAUCGCAAGAGAAGCAUUGAAUCGAAGCCCCAGUAAACGGCGGCCGUAACUAUAACGGUCCUAAGGUAGCGAAAUUCCUUGUCGGGU